This 88-nucleotide transfer RNA is filed under the name Opitutaceae bacterium. RNAcentral describes it as "tRNA-Leu". It matches the Rfam family "tRNA". From Rfam's summary of the family: Transfer RNA (tRNA) molecules are approximately 80 nucleotides in length. The record is from RNAcentral. Lineage: Bacteria; Pseudomonadati; Verrucomicrobiota; Opitutia; Opitutales; Opitutaceae.
CGGUGGGUGGUGCAAUCAGUAGACACGCGAGUCUCAGAAGCUCGUGGGCAUCACGCCCGUGCAGGUGCAAGUCCUGUCCCACCGACCA